UCCAGCUGUCGUAUCACCCUGCAGCUCCCAGCUGGCAGCCCACUGGAGCAGGUGUGAGCCUGGCCAGUACCUGGAUGGGAGACCUCCUGGGAAAAACUAAGGUUGCUGCUGGAA
RNAcentral lists this ribosomal RNA (114 nucleotides) under Lepisosteus oculatus (spotted gar). Lineage: Eukaryota; Metazoa; Chordata; Actinopteri; Semionotiformes; Lepisosteidae. The record is from RNAcentral.